CCUACGGGUGGCAGCAGUGAGGAAUAUUGGUCAAUGGGCGGAAGCCUGAACCAGCCAAGUCGCGUGAGGGAUUAAGGCCCUGCGGGUCGUAAACCUCUUUUGCCGGGGAGCAGUGGUCCGGACGCGUCCGGACCGGGAGAGUACCCGGAGAAAAAGCAUCGGCUAACUCCGUGCCAGCAGCCGCGGUAGUACGGAGGAUGCGAGCGUUAUCCGGAUUUAUUGGGUUUAAAGGGUGCGCAGGCGGAGGUGCAAGUCAGCGGUCAAAUUUCGGGGCUCAACCCCGUACUGCCGUUGAAACUGCAUCCCUUGAGUGCGCUAGAAGUAUGCGGAAUGCGUGGUGUAGCGGUGAAAUGCUUAGAUAUCAUGAAGAACUCCGAUCGCGAAGGUAAGUGUCCGGGGUGCAACUGACGCUGAGGCUCGAAAGUGCGGGUAUCAAACAGGAUUAGAUACCCUAGUAGUC
RNAcentral lists this ribosomal RNA (460 nucleotides) under uncultured bacterium. RNAcentral describes it as "partial 16S ribosomal RNA". It matches the Rfam family "Bacterial small subunit ribosomal RNA", at positions 338 to 795 of the family's 1533-position model. The record is from RNAcentral.